RNAcentral lists this ribosomal RNA (621 nucleotides) under uncultured fungus. Its description in RNAcentral is "eukaryotic LSU rRNA". It matches the Rfam family "Eukaryotic large subunit ribosomal RNA", at positions 24 to 664 of the family's 3401-position model. Lineage: Eukaryota; Fungi. The record is from RNAcentral.
CCCGCUGAACUUAAGCAUAUCAAUAAGCGGAGGAAAAGAAACCAACAGGGAUUGCCUCAGUAACGGCGAGUGAAGCGGCAAUAGCUCAAAUUUGAAAUCUGACUUUCGGGUCCGAGUUGUAAUUUGUAGAGGAUGCUUCGGCUUACGUUUCGGUCUAAGUUCCUUGGAACAGGACGUCACAGAGGGUGAGAAUCCCGUUUGUGGCCGAGACUUCCGCCAUGUGAAGCUCCUUCGACGAGUCGAGUUGUUUGGGAAUGCAGCUCUAAAUGGGAGGUAAAUUUCUUCUAAAGCUAAAUACCGGCCAGAGACCGAUAGCGCACAAGUAGAGUGAUCGAAAGAUGAAAAGCACUUUGGAAAGAGAGUUAAAAAGUACGUGAAAUUGUUGAAAGGGAAGCGCUUGCGACCAGACUUGCUCGCGGAUGUUCAACCGGUCCUUCGGCCGGUGCACUCAUCCGCGGUCAGGCCAGCAUCAGUUCGAGCGGUUGGAUAAAGGCUUUGGGAAUGUGGCUCUCUUCGGGGAGUGUUAUAGCCCUUUGUGCAAUACAACCUGCUUGGACUGAGGACCGCGCUUCGGCUAGGAUGCUGGCGUAAUGGUCGUAAGCGGCCCGUCUUGAAACACGG